ACGGAAGGCAGCAGUCGGGAAUAUUGCGCAAUGGAGGAAACUCUGACGCAGUGACGCCGCGUGCAGGAAGAAGGUUUUCGGAUUGUAAACUGCUUUAGACAGGGAAGAAGAAGUGACAGUACCUGUAGAAUAAGCUCCGGCUAACUACGUGCCAGCAGCCGCGGUAAUACGUAGGGAGCGAGCGUUAUCCGGAUUUAUUGGGUGUAAAGGGUGCGUAGACGGGAAGUUAAGUUAGUUGUGAAAUCCCUCGGCUCAACUGAGGAACUGCAACUAAAACUGAUUUUCUUGAGUACUGGAGAGGAAAGUGGAAUUCCUAGUGUAGCGGUGAAAUGCGUAGAUAUUAGGAGGAACACCAGUGGCGAAGGCGACUUUCUGGACAGAAACUGACGUUGAGGCACGAAAGUGUGGGGAGCAAACAGGAUUAGAUACCCUGGUA
RNAcentral lists this ribosomal RNA (436 nucleotides) under uncultured Oscillospiraceae bacterium. RNAcentral describes it as "bacterial SSU rRNA". It matches the Rfam family "Bacterial small subunit ribosomal RNA", at positions 341 to 792 of the family's 1533-position model. Lineage: Bacteria; Bacillati; Bacillota; Clostridia; Eubacteriales; Oscillospiraceae. The record is from RNAcentral.